Molecule: long non-coding RNA, 1033 nt
Organism: Tachysurus fulvidraco (yellow catfish)
Lineage: Eukaryota; Metazoa; Chordata; Actinopteri; Siluriformes; Bagridae
Exons: 5
Source: RefSeq, a predicted model, not a curated record
GCUCACAUUUGCAGACAUAAAAAAGUGUAGCACAUGCUCACAUCACUCUCUAAACUUAAAUUAUUCAAUAAUCUAAAGAUUCUCUAUUUCUAAAAAAAAAAAUAUAAAAAAAACAUAUAAAGAUGGUCCUAGAAGACCUUAUACAGAAGGCCAUAAGUUUAGAAAUACUUCCCAAUUUAAGAUUCUAAACUCUAAUUCUAAGACUUCUAAAUUUAAAAUCUAAAACUAAAACUAAUUUCGAUAAACAACUUCAUUCAACACCUUCUCUUUUACUGUGUCCUUGCUUCUCGUUCUACUUCUGAUUCUGCUCUGUUCUGUAUUGAAUUGUUCUUCUAAUGUCAGAGUUCUUAAAAAAACUAUAAAAAAAAAAUAAACUCCUUAGGAACAUAUUUAAACAUUAUUUAACACUGUACAGGAAUUUAACAGACUAUAUUAUACCAAUAACUAAAUUAUAACUAGGAGCUUCAAUAAAGGAACAACUACUCGUGCAUUUAUCCAAUCCACCAAUCCUUUGGCAGCAGUGUGAGAAGAUUGCGUGAUGAAGUCACAUGUCCAAGAAGCCAGAGGUCCGAUUCGGGCAAUGAAGAUGUUGCUCUUUAAUCAAGACACCCGCCACAAUUAUGGCUUAAUUACCUUUAUCAUCACCAAUCAUUUAGGAUCCACCUUGAGCAGCAUUUUUUUUAUGUAAAGGUACAGAAGAUCAAUAGGGGCACAAGCACUCAGGUGAGGUCAUGAGGUGACCUUCAGGAGAUAAAAUCAAAGGACAAACCUGGGAGAUAAAAUCAAAUGGAGAUAAAAAUCUUUAAUCACCUCACCAUCAUCCUACCUUAAACACACUGUCACACAGCUGAGAGAAGGAUGGAGAGAACAGACAAUACAUGUCACCACCUCUGUCACCACAUGCAGUACUGUCAGACUGUCUGACUGAUAUUUGAUAAAAUGCUUUACAUUACUGUACGCUUUGUGGUUGUAGAUAUACACAUGCAUGGACCGACAUGGAUGUAGGUAUGCUUUAUCUGAAACCGACCCUCAU